This is a long non-coding RNA of Xenopus laevis (African clawed frog), 2407 nucleotides long. RefSeq lists it as uncharacterized. The transcript has 2 exons. The record is from RefSeq and is a predicted model, not a curated record. NCBI's taxonomy places the organism in Eukaryota, Metazoa, Chordata, Amphibia, Anura, Pipidae.
GAUACAGCCCCCUGAAACCCGCUCCGACGCUAAUUUUUAAGCGCGGAGCGGGAGAGGAGGGGGGCGGCAUCUGGGCUGCUGCCUCAGGCGGCAGCAGCCCCAGAAUCGGCGCUGGGCUUACAGGUCAUCCCGUGACUCUUAGGGAGAUGAAACCAUUGUACUGCAGGUUAGGUCAACACACCGAAGCAGUCAGAUCUCUAUUAGUUUCAGAUGAUGUCCCUAUCAACCUAUUGGGAGCAGACAUUCUGUCGGAGAUUCAGGCCAACAUCACAUAUACCCCAGAGGGUGUUGUGGUAACUAGUGUACUCACAGACGAGUUGCUAUGUGCAGUGGUGGCAGUCCCGUAUACUGGAGAACCUGGUACACAUUUGUCCCUGGAUGUACUAGCUGAGGUAGACCCAAAGGUUUGGGCAGUUGACAAAUAUGAUGUCGGCUUGCUGCUAGUACCUCCAGCCACUAUACGGAUUGCCCCCGGUUACAUGCUACCAAAAUUGCCACAGUAUCCUCUGAGUAUAGCGCAGAUGGACAGUCUCAAGAUCCAGAUUGAUAGAUAUCUCCAAAUCGGGGUCUUAACCCCAACACAAUCACCCUGUAAUACACCUUUAUUUCCAGUAGCAAAAAAAAUCAGCCAAGGGUCAGGAAGUCACUUACCGACUGGUCCAUGAUCUCAGAGCCACUAACAAAAUCGUAGUCAGUGAUGCCCCGUUAGUGCCUAAUCCUCACACAUUACUUGCGUCCAUCCCUCCUAAAGCUUCAUACUUUAAUGUUAUCGACUAGUCUAAUGCCUUCUUUUCUGUUCCACUAGAUCCACAGUGUCAAUACCUCUUUGCUUUUUCAUUCCAGGAUAGACAGCUGACGUGGACCCGGUUACCACAGGGGUCCAUGACUAGUCCAUCGGAAUAAAGUUGCAAGCUAAAGGUGGUAUUAGACCAGUGGGUGCCAGAGGAUCCGGAGGUCGCACUGUUACAAUAUGUGGACGAUCUAUUAGUUUGUUGCCCGGACAAGGAUUAAUGCUACAGACACACUAUCUCGCUACUGAACCAUCUGGCAUCCACUGGGAAUAAGGCUAGCAAGGAAAAAUUGCAGUUUUGUUAGGAGAAGGUUAUUUUUCUAGGCCACUGUAUCUCAAAAGGGACCCGACACCUGACAACACAACGGAUACAGACUCUCAAAGACUUCACCCGACCUCAUAAUGCCCGACAGUUGAGAGCCCUUCUAGGUCUGAUCAAUUACAGCAGAGAUUGGAUCCCUAAUAUUUCAUUCAAAAUGGGUCCUCUCUAUACUUUACCCUAUGAGACACCAUUUAAAUUAACUGACGAACACUGGUCAACCCUCCAGGAUCUGAUCCAGGAACUCUCCAGGGCCCCGGCACUAGGUCUUCCCAGCUAUGACCUACCCUUUUAUCUCUUUUGUCACGAAAGCAAAGGGCAUGCCACUGGGGUACUGACCCAAUUACAUGGAUCCAGUCAUCAAAGGUUCACCUGGGUGUGUCCGAGCUACAGCCGCCUGUGCUGUGUUAUUACAGAAAGUUGGUGACAUAGUUUUAGAUUCCCCUCUAACCCUUCUCACCCCACACUCUGUAAAAUAGAUUAUCAACCAGGUCCAGACCAAACAUCUUUCAGCAGCACGUCUGACCAAAUCUGAAGUGACUCUCCUUACCCCUACUAACCUCACACUGAGACGAUGUACAAUCCUCAAUCCCGCAUCUCUUCUCCCGACCCAUUCUGACUCGGAAGAAGAGGGGGGGACGAAGGGAUUGUGACUGACUCUAACCCAACCAUGACAGAACCAACAGACAAUCACAAAUGUCUUGAACUCAUGGAACCCGAGACAGAAGCAGUACAACAUUCACCUCCCUUAAGGUCGAGGAACGUGACGGGUGGAUCCUCGCCAGCCACUGCAAGAAGCUGCUGGACUAUCAAGUGCAAUGAUCAGGUGCAUUGUUUCUAUAUACACUUGUUGUUUAAUGUAUUUUUGAUACUGUUAUGAGGAGUCACAUCCGAAUUUACUGUUCAAGAUGCAUUUACAAUUAGCAAAGACGGCAAAUAGGUCCAACUGCUGGGUGUGCUCCAAACCUCCUCCGAGCCAGAGCAUCCUGGCGAUGGCGGCAGUACAUGCCCUUUAUGACAUCAGGGUGGGCAUGAGAAAAUUUAGUCCUUCAGGUAGAUCAGCAGAACGCCAUCUGUCCAUAGAAUUUAAUCAAACAUUCUUAGAUGGUAAUGUCACCUAUGGUCUUGAUGUCAGCCCCGAGGCUUGUACUAAACUUAGCAGACCCGUGUGGGUAUCCGGUCAAUUAGGCCAGCCCGGGAUUUGUUUUAAUAUCAGCUCUGGUUUUGGAGCCAAGUCCCUGGGGAGGACCGAAUGCCCAUCUGGGAUAACCAUCCAGAUCGACCAUAGAGUCCCUGAC